GAUCAAGCGCGAGAAGGGCGUUUGGUGGAUGCCUUGGCAGUAAGAGGCGAUGAAGGACGUGAUACUCUGCGAUAAGCUUUGGGAAGUCGAGAAUAGACGCUAUACCCAAAGAUCUCCGAAUGGGGCAACCCAACUGAUACUUUGUUAUUGUUACACUUUGUGUAAUCAAUAAUGGGGUAAAACAGUUAUUAAUUACCUGAAUACAUAGGGUUUUUAAAGCAAACCUGGGGAACUGAAACAUCUAAGUACCCAGAGGAAAGGAAAUCAAUAGAUACUCCCGUAGUAGUGGCGAGCGAACCGGGACCAGCCGAGCAAUGAAUGUGACUAGAACCAGUUGGAAAGCUGGGCGAUAUGGGUGACAGCCCCGUAUAGGAAGCAUGAUUUGACGUAUUAAGUAGGGCGGAACACGUGAAAUUCUGUCUGAACAUGGGGGGACCACCCUCUAAGGCUAAGUACUCCUUACUGACCGAUAGCGAACCAGUACCGUGAGGGAAAGGUGAAAAGCACCCCGACGAGGGGAGUGAAACAGUUUCUGAAACCGGACGCCUACAAACAGUUGGAGCCUCUUUAUGGGGUGACAGCGUACCUUUUGUAUAAUGGGUCAACGACUUGGUCUUACUAGCAAGCUUAAGCCGAUAGGUGUAGGCGCAGCGAAAGCGAGUCUUAAUAGGGCGAAUGAGUUAGUAGGAUCAGACCCGAAACCG
This 704-nucleotide ribosomal RNA is filed under the name Amylibacter sp. Its description in RNAcentral is "partial 23S ribosomal RNA". It matches the Rfam family "Bacterial large subunit ribosomal RNA", at positions 1 to 723 of the family's 2925-position model. The record is from RNAcentral. Lineage: Bacteria; Pseudomonadati; Pseudomonadota; Alphaproteobacteria; Rhodobacterales; Paracoccaceae.